CAAAAACAUGGUUUCUUGUUUCAUUAAAUAAGAAAUUUGGCCUGCCCACUGAUAACUAUUAAAGGGCUGCAGUAUUUUGACUGUACAAAGGUAGCACAAUCAUUAGUCUUUUAAUUGUGGACUGGUAUGAAAGGUUAGACAAAUAAUUAUUAUUUUGUGGUUUAAUGGUUGAAUUUUCUUUUUCUGUUAAAAAGCAGAGGUGUGAUUAAAAGACAAGAAGACCCUUUAAAAUUUAAUUUGAUGUUUUUAUUUGUGUUUAUAGUAAAAAAAUAAAAUAAAUUCAUUGAGUUUUGUUGGGGCGGCAGGUAUAAUAAAUCUGUAAAACUUAUAAAUAUAAUUAAUUAGAUUGUUGUGUGAGCCUAUAUAUGGCUAAUAAAAUAAAUUACUGAAGGGAUAACAGCGUGAUGUGUUUUGAGAGUUCUAAUUGACAAAUAUGUUUGCGACCUCGAUGUUGGAUUAAGAUAUCCUGUUGAGGCGCAGUAGUUUGGCAGGAAGGUCUGUUCGACCUUUAAUAUCUUACAUGAU
This 525-nucleotide ribosomal RNA is filed under the name Chilopoda sp. CHIL-BLAN. RNAcentral describes it as "partial large subunit ribosomal RNA". It matches the Rfam family "Bacterial large subunit ribosomal RNA", at positions 1808 to 2604 of the family's 2925-position model. Lineage: Eukaryota; Metazoa; Arthropoda; Chilopoda. The record is from RNAcentral.